RNAcentral lists this ribosomal RNA (492 nucleotides) under uncultured bacterium. Its description in RNAcentral is "partial 16S ribosomal RNA". It matches the Rfam family "Bacterial small subunit ribosomal RNA", at positions 29 to 523 of the family's 1533-position model. The record is from RNAcentral.
AUUGAACGCUGGCGGCAUGCUUUACACAUGCAAGUCGAACGGUAACAGGUUAAGCUGACGAGUGGCGAACGGGUGAGUAAUGCAUCGGAACGUGCCCGAUCGUGGGGGAUAACGCAGCGAAAGCUGGGCUAAUACCGCAUACGAUCUGAGGAUGAAAGCGGGGGACCGUAAGGCCUCGCGCGAUCGGAGCGGCCGAUGUCAGAUUAGGUAGUUGGUGGGGUAAAGGCUCACCAAGCCAACGAUCUGUAGCUGGUCUGAGAGGACGACAGCCACACUGGGACUGAGACACGGCCCAGACUCCUACGGGAGGCAGCAGUGGGGAAUUUUGGACAAUGGGCGAAAGCCUGAUCCAGCAAUGCCGCGUGCAGGAAGAAGGCCUUCGGGUUGUAAACUGCUUUUGUACGGAGCGAAAAGGCUCUCUCUAAUACAGGGGGCUCAUGACGGUACCGUAAGAAUAAGCACCGGCUAACUACGUGCCAGCAGCCGCGGUAA